GAUAAGUAUUGAUCAAGAAAAAGCUGCUAACUUUUCCCUUUAAUGGUUAAAUUCCAUUUAUAUCUCU
Molecule: transfer RNA, 67 nt
Filed under: Leptogaster longicauda
Lineage: Eukaryota; Metazoa; Arthropoda; Insecta; Diptera; Asilidae
Description: tRNA-Ser
Source: RNAcentral